CCUACGGGUGGCAGCAGUCGAGAAUCAUUCACAAUGGGGGAAACCCUGAUGGUGCGACGCCGCGUGGGGGAAUGAAGGUCUUCGGAUGGUAAACCCCUGUCAUGUGGGAGCAAAUUAAAAAGAUAGUACCACAAGAGGAAGAGACGGCUAACUCUGUGCCAGCAGCCGCGGUAAUACAGAGGUCUCAAGCGUUGUUCGGAAUCACUGGGCGUAAAGCGUGCGUAGGCUGUUUCGUAAGUCGUGUGUGAAAGGCGCGGGCUCAACCCGCGGACGGCACAUGAUACUGCGAGACUAGAGUAAUGGAGGGGGAACCGGAAUUCUCGGUGUAGCAGUGAAAUGCGUAGAUAUCGAGAGGAACACUCGUGGCGAAGGCGGGUUCCUGGACAUUAACUGACGCUGAGGCACGAAGGCCAGGGGAGCGUAAGGGAUUAGAUACCCCUGUAGUC
Molecule: ribosomal RNA, 446 nt
Filed under: uncultured bacterium
Lineage: Bacteria
Description: partial 16S ribosomal RNA
Rfam family: Bacterial small subunit ribosomal RNA
Source: RNAcentral